Long non-coding RNA from Lycium barbarum (goji berry), 1599 nucleotides. RefSeq lists it as uncharacterized. NCBI's taxonomy places the organism in Eukaryota, Viridiplantae, Streptophyta, Magnoliopsida, Solanales, Solanaceae. The transcript is spliced from 4 exons. The record is from RefSeq and is a predicted model, not a curated record.
AAACCAUUCUUUUUUUAGCUUAUCAUUUUUUUAUUGAGAGUCAUGGCCAUGGCUGCCGAAGCUCACGGACGAGCUCAAGUUUGGAAGAAGAGAAAUUAAAUUCUAGAGGUGAUUUACAAGUUCAAGGAGACAAUAGCAACAUUGGAUAUUGAAUUGGGGAAGAGGAAAUUGCAAAAUUGGAGCAAUUAAGAGUAGAAAUUCCUCCGAGAAAAUUAAGGCUUUCUUCGAAGUGAAGUAAGGUGGAAGGAGAUUAUUUCUUGGCAUAUGAUGUUUAUCAUAUUAAUUGUGGAAGUUCUUGGCUGGACUGAGCUCUUGAACGACGUAAGGUUUAUCAUAUUAAUUGUGGAAGUUCUUGGCUGGACUGAGCUCUUGAACGACGUAAGGUAUGUAAAGACUAUCCCUUCUUCCUUUUGGCAUGUCCUAGAUGUAAGUAAGAUAUGAUAUGAGCCUUGGGGUAAUUCUACUCUCUAGUUCCAAGCAUGACUCAUGAUUUUCAUUCCUUUCUUGAUGUUAGAACUUUCAGGAUAGUCGAGAUAUUGCCUCGAGUCUAUUAUAUGAUUGACUAAUAUAUGAUGUAUAGAAGUUCCUAUUCUUAAAGGAUUCCAUAAUUAGAGGUGUCCUUGACUUUCGUAAGCUCCCUCAUGUUAAUUUGAUACAUGUAUAUGAUCCCUGAAACGUUCCUUGUUAUAGUUUGUAAUGACAUUUAGAAAGAACUUAAUAUGAUUGUUAUCCUGAUACUUGAGAGUUGAUUAGUUUACUUAUCUAUUGAGUCUCAAAAGAUGAUUUGUAUGUAUUUGGUUGCUUAUCACUCUGCUCAUCCUUACCGCUACAUCCUUCACUGAGUCCCGGGCCAGGACAUGUUUUCGUGCACAGAUCCACUGCAUUAUUCACCGAGUCCCUCACUAGAGGGCCGGGACACGUUAUAUAUAUGUAUAUGAUGAUAUGGUGAUAUGAUGAUAUGGGGAUGGCGACCAGGAUGGCACAUGAUGAUCUUAUUCACCGAGUCCCUCACUAGAGGGCCGGGACACGUUAUAUAUAUACAUGACGAUGAUAUGAUUUUAUUUACCGAGUCCCUCACUAGAGGGCCGGGACAUGUUGUACAUAUGCAUAUGAACAGGAUGAUUCUCUAAUGGUGACAUUAAGUUUCAUAACGAGUUAAGUCUGAUAUUGACACCAUGAUUUAUGAUUCAAAGGUAAGCCUUGUGGGUUUCUGGUUAUUGUACUGGUUUUCUGUACUCCUCACUUCAGUAUGAUCCUGUUUAUUGUAUUUUUUCUUUACAUGCUCAGUACAUAUUCCGUACUGACCCCCUUUCUUCGGGGGGCUGUGUUCAUGCCCGCAGGUACAGAUGCUCACGCUGGUAACCCGCCAGCUUAGGAGUCCUAUUAAGCUAUCUUAGAGAGCUCCCUUGUUCCGGAGCCUAGAUUUUGGUAGAAAAUCUCUUGUGGUGUAUAUGUAUUUUAUCCAGGGGUACGGCGGGGCCCUGUCCCGUCAUAUGAUAUUGUCGUUACUCUUAGAGGUUUGUAGACAUAUGUGUGGGUUGUGUAUCGAUGUUGUUCAGUUGUGUAGAUAUGGCUUAUGUUUUGGGACGUUCCCAUUCG